GAACCCUUGGAGAGAUCCAUUUUAGAAAUGGACGCCGAAGGCGCAAAAGAGCGGUUAAUUUUUCAAUCGUUUUUCAAACGCUCAGGCAAAAGGACAGGGGCAAA
Molecule: non-coding RNA, 104 nt
Filed under: Haemophilus influenzae
Lineage: Bacteria; Pseudomonadati; Pseudomonadota; Gammaproteobacteria; Pasteurellales; Pasteurellaceae
Also listed under: 1 other name
Description: Glycine riboswitch
Rfam family: Glycine riboswitch aptamer
About the family: This family represents the bacterial glycine riboswitch. Glycine riboswitches usually consist of two metabolite-binding aptamers domains with similar structures in tandem.
Source: RNAcentral